RNAcentral lists this transfer RNA (58 nucleotides) under Bemisia afer. RNAcentral's name for it is "tRNA-Ser". Lineage: Eukaryota; Metazoa; Arthropoda; Insecta; Hemiptera; Aleyrodidae. The record is from RNAcentral.
AAAAUCCAAAGGUAGUAAACCUAAUCAAUGCUUUCAAAACAUAGCCUAAAUUGGAUUU